Molecule: ribosomal RNA, 496 nt
Filed under: uncultured bacterium
Lineage: Bacteria
Description: partial 16S ribosomal RNA
Rfam family: Bacterial small subunit ribosomal RNA
Source: RNAcentral
AUUGAACGCUGGCGGAAUGCUUUACACAUGCAAGUCGAACGGUAGAGGGGGCAACCCCUCGAGAGUGGCGAACGGGUGAGUAAUAUAUCGGAACGUGCCCAGUCGUGGGGGAUAACGUAGCGAAAGUUACGCUAAUACCGCGUACGAUCUAAGGAUGAAAGCGGGGGAUCGCAAGACCUCGCGCGAUUGGAGCGGCCGAUAUCAGAUUAGGUAGUUGGUGGGGUAAAGGCUCACCAAGCCAACGAUCUGUAGCUGGUCUGAGAGGACGACCAGCCACACUGGAACUGAGACACGGUCCAGACUCCUACGGGAGGCAGCAGUGGGGAAUUUUGGACAAUGGACGCAAGUCUGAUCCAGCCAUUCCGCGUGCAGGAUGAAGGCCCUCGGGUUGUAAACUGCUUUUGUACGGAACGAAAAGGUCUCUCUUAAUACGGGGGGCUCAUGACGGUACCGUAAGAAUAGGCACCGGCUAACUACGUGCCAGCAGCCGCAGUAA